Molecule: microRNA precursor, 64 nt
Filed under: Ovis aries (sheep)
Lineage: Eukaryota; Metazoa; Chordata; Mammalia; Artiodactyla; Bovidae
Description: miRNA (ENSOARG00000021306.1)
Source: RNAcentral
UUACGUUGUCUGCUGGGUCUUGUCAGCCCUUGUCAGCCCUUAGAGGCCUGGCUCCUGUGCGUGG